RNAcentral lists this ribosomal RNA (253 nucleotides) under uncultured bacterium. RNAcentral describes it as "partial 16S ribosomal RNA". It matches the Rfam family "Bacterial small subunit ribosomal RNA", at positions 524 to 776 of the family's 1533-position model. The record is from RNAcentral.
UACAGAGGGUGCGAGCGUUGUUCGGAAUUAUUGGGCGUAAAGGGCGCGUAGGCGGUGCGGUAAGUCACCUGUGAAAUCUCCUGGCUCAACUGGGAGCUUGCAGGCGAAACUGCCGUGCUGGAGUGUGGGAGAGGUGCGUGGAAUUCCUGGUGUAGCGGUGAAAUGCGUAGAUAUCAGGAGGAACACCUGUGGCGAAGGCGGCUCUCUGGAACGCAACUGACGCUGAGACGCGAAGGCGUGGGGAGCAAACAGG